CGUAAUCCAUAAUUAUGCAUAUGAAAAUGUAGGUGCAUAUACCCAAAAUGCACAAAUUCGGUUUUGUAAAAUAAUGAGUGAAGUGGAUGAUUUUAAACCGAUUAUAUUGAUCCAAGAGAUGAUUUAAGAUAAUGGAUGGUGUUGAUUGGAUCAAAAGUGGACUAAAAAGAGCUUAAAUAUUCAAUUUCGGGUUUAACAAAAAUUGAGUGAAAUGGAUUUGUUUGAGAAAAGAAAAUUGAUCCUAGAGAUGAAUGAAACUAAUAUAUGAUGUAGAUUGGAUCAAAAAUGGACUAAAGGAAGCUUGAAAAUGUAGAGAGAGAAACGGGUAGUUAGGUUUUUGAUUUUGGGUUUUAUGUGGAGAGUUGAUGAAAUAAAGUUUUGAGAACGAACAUUGAAGGAGUAAUGGAUGAAUAAUUAUUUGGAUGAUUGAUUUUAACAAGAAAAUGAGUGAAAGAUGAAGAAUUUUGAGAGAGAAAUGGAGAGUUACUGUUCACGCGUGAGAGAUGAUGAUGAAAUGAUGAAAAACAAGUGAAGAAAUCAUGAUGGAGAAGAGUUUAAUGAAGAUGAAAUGCAUGGGUAAUGGUUUAAGAGAUUGAUCUUGGCAUAAAAAUGGUUGAGAAAUGAAGAGGAAUUGAUUGGAAAUGGAAGAGGGUGGCUCACGGUUUUGAGAGAGAGGAAGAACAAGUGCAGAAAAAUAACGAAGGAAGGAGAAGCAAAACAAAAUCAGCCAAACCCGUAAACGGCUUGCCGGUUAGGCUUGAAC
Molecule: long non-coding RNA, 763 nt
Filed under: Citrus sinensis (sweet orange)
Lineage: Eukaryota; Viridiplantae; Streptophyta; Magnoliopsida; Sapindales; Rutaceae
Description: long non-coding RNA (CSIN_LNC003146)
Source: RNAcentral